This 375-nucleotide ribosomal RNA is filed under the name uncultured organism. RNAcentral describes it as "bacterial SSU rRNA". It matches the Rfam family "Bacterial small subunit ribosomal RNA", at positions 123 to 529 of the family's 1533-position model. The record is from RNAcentral.
AACCUGCCCUUGGGAGGGGAACAACAGCUGGAAACGGCUGCUAAUACCCCAUAGGCUGAGGAGCAAAAGGAGGAAUCCGCCCAAGGAGGGGCUCGCGUCUGAUUAGUUAGUUGGUGAGGCAAUGGCUUACCAAGGCGACGAUCAGUAGCUGGUCCGAGAGGAUGAUCAGCCACACUGGGACUGAGACACGGUCCAGACUCCUACGGGAGGCAGCAGUGGGGAAUUUUCCGCAAUGGGCGAAAGCCUGACGGAGCAAUGCCGCGUGAAGGCAGAAGGCCCACGGGUUAUGAACUUCUUUUCUCGGAGAAGAAAAAAUGACGGUAUCUGAGGAAUAAGCAUCGGCUAACUCUGUGCCAGCAUUCGCGGUAAGACAGA